CUAUUUUCCAGAAGAUCCAGAGCGAGGGUUGUCAAGCAUAGCACCUAGCCGGUAGCGGUAAAACUUGAUGAAACAUUGUGCAAUUGCAGGAGGGCCUCAUGACUUGCAGCGUAUACCCAUGCACUAGUCAACAGGAAACCAUGACACUUAGCCAUGAGGCUGACAAUGGGUGCGGAUGUGGCAAAACACAGCCAGAUAUGUUUGGCUGAUGGGGUUAGAUGACUGAGUCGGGCUUCGAUUCUUGGCCGUACCAAGUGAUGUUGUGUCCUUGGGCAAGGCAUUUCACACUACUUUUCUCAGGAAGAAUGUCCCUGUACUUACUGUCUGUAAAUGAGCACCAGAUGGCGCUCCAGCACAGUCUACCUGAUGACCAUAGACCUGCAUAGGAUGUGAUGCUGCCUGAUGCCAAGUAUGCCCGUAACGGAAGUUGUUGUACCAAGAGCGGUUUAAAGAGGAACUGAAGCCCCACCCAUGGUGGUGCGCAUGCAGACUGGGGGCAACUUUAGAAAGGUGUUUGGGGAACUAUUCCAGCCAACAUGUCCUGCCGCAAAUCCCAUUCAAUGAUUGGCAUCUGUGUGGUUGGAUAUUUUUAAUAAAGUAUUUUGAGUCACUUGA
Molecule: long non-coding RNA, 615 nt
Organism: Hypomesus transpacificus
Lineage: Eukaryota; Metazoa; Chordata; Actinopteri; Osmeriformes; Osmeridae
Exons: 9
Source: RefSeq, a predicted model, not a curated record